RNAcentral lists this ribosomal RNA (375 nucleotides) under uncultured Hydrogenophaga sp. RNAcentral's name for it is "bacterial SSU rRNA". It matches the Rfam family "Bacterial small subunit ribosomal RNA", at positions 1002 to 1382 of the family's 1533-position model. The record is from RNAcentral. Lineage: Bacteria; Pseudomonadati; Pseudomonadota; Betaproteobacteria; Burkholderiales; Comamonadaceae.
AGAGAUGGCUUCGUGCUCGAAAGAGAGCCGUAACACAGGUGCUGCAUGGCUGUCGUCAGCUCGUGUCGUGAGAUGUUGGGUUAAGUCCCGCAACGAGCGCAACCCUUGUCAUUAGUUGCUACGAAAGGGCACUCUAAUGAGACUGCCGGUGACAAACCGGAGGAAGGUGGGGAUGACGUCAAGUCCUCAUGGCCCUUAUAGUGGGGCUACACACGUCAUACAAUGGCUGGUACAAAGGGUUGCCAACCCGCGAGGGGGAGCCAAUCCCAUAAAGCCAGUCGUAGUCCGGAUCGCAGUCUGCAACUCGACUGCGUGAAGUCGGAAUCGCUAGUAAUCGUGGAUCAGCAUGUCACGGUGAAUACGUUCCCGGGUCUU